Molecule: ribosomal RNA, 742 nt
Filed under: Rhizoctonia solani
Lineage: Eukaryota; Fungi; Basidiomycota; Agaricomycetes; Cantharellales; Ceratobasidiaceae
Description: eukaryotic LSU rRNA
Rfam family: 5.8S ribosomal RNA (bases 230-383)
Source: RNAcentral
AAUAAUGAAUUUUAAUAAUGGAGAGGUGAGUUGGUGGUGGCCUUUUUUACCUUAAUUUGGCCGGAGGGGGCAUGUGCACACCUUCUCUUUCAUCCAUCACACCCCCUGUGCACUUGUGAGACAGCAAUAGUUGGUGGAUUUAAUUCCAUCAUCCAUUUGCUGUCUACUUAAUUUACACACACUCUACUUAAUUUAAACUGAAUGUAAUUGAUGUAACGCAUCUAAUACUAAGUUUCAACAACGGAUCUCUUGGCUCUCGCAUCGAUGAAGAACGCAGCGAAAUGCGAUAAGUAAUGUGAAUUGCAGAAUUCAGUGAAUCAUCGAAUCUUUGAACGCACCUUGCGCUCCUUGGUAUUCCUUGGAGCAUGCCUGUUUGAGUAUCAUGAAAUCUUCAAAGUAAACCUUUUGUUAAUUCAAUUGGUCUUUUUUACUUUGGUUUUGGAGGAUCUUAUUGCAGCUUCACACCUGCUCCUCUUUGUGCAUUAGCUGGAUCUCAGUGUUAUGCUUGGUUCCACUCGGCGUGAUAAGUUAUCUAUCGCUGAGGACACCCGUAAAAAAGGUGGCCAAGGUAAAUGCAGAUGAACCGCUUCUAAUAGUCCAUUGACUUGGACAAUAUUCUAUUUUAUGAUCUGAUCUCAAUCAGGUAGGACUACCCGCUGAACUAAGCAAUCAAGCGGGAAAAAAUUCUUUUUGAUUUUAUUAUGAGGGAUUUGAAUUGGUGCUGGCCUUUCACCUUAAUUGG